UUCUCCCUCAGUGUGUGCAUGUGUGCUUCCUUCAUGCAUGUAAUGGAAAACAGUUGGCCACCCUGGAUUGGACAAUCAGAAGUUGAUUGCUGCCUUGUGAUUGGUACAUUGAAUGACAGCAGGCUUUUUAAGCCCCCAGCUGACAGCAAUCUUUGCUUCACUCUGCUACUUGCAACUAUGUGCUAGUUGUUGAAUGAGAACCUUUGCAAGCAGAGAAACUUCAGCACAGUGAUUUUAAAUGUUUGUAGAAGUCUUGUCUGUUUAAGGUUGUUUGCGGAUCUUGUUAAUUUGGGCACAGCUCAUCUCUGAAGACUGCUACUUUGUAAUUUCCUUGCGUUGUGGGAUUUGAAAAAUAACAAGUGAGAACAGCAAGCAGCUCUGUUCAAUUCUUAUCCAGCCUGAAGAAGAGUUAUAUCAGAUUCGACUGCUGGAGCAAUGUUACUCACGUCUUUGUCUAGCAUGGCUGAAGAACCCCAUACACCAGCUUCACAACAGAGCUCUCUCCAUGUCGAGGGAUGCAGUCGUGGGUGUACAGAGUGAACAGGAGGGGGCUGAGCACAC
Long non-coding RNA from Micropterus salmoides (largemouth bass), 561 nucleotides. RefSeq lists it as uncharacterized. The transcript is spliced from 3 exons. The record is from RefSeq and is a predicted model, not a curated record. NCBI's taxonomy places the organism in Eukaryota, Metazoa, Chordata, Actinopteri, Centrarchiformes, Centrarchidae.